This 261-nucleotide ribosomal RNA is filed under the name uncultured bacterium. RNAcentral's name for it is "partial 16S ribosomal RNA". It matches the Rfam family "Bacterial small subunit ribosomal RNA", at positions 101 to 353 of the family's 1533-position model. The record is from RNAcentral.
AACGGGUGAGUAAUACAUAAGUAACCUGCCCUAGACAGGGGGAUAACUAUUGGAAACGAUAGCUAAGACCGCAUAGGUACGGACACUGCGUGGUGACCGUAUUAAAAGUGCCUCAAAGCACUGGUAGAGGAUGGACUUAUGGCGCAUUAGCUGGUUGGCGGGGUAACGGCCCACCAAGGCGACGAUGCGUAGCCGACCUGAGAGGGUGACCGGCCACACUGGGACUGAGACACGGCCCAGACUCCUACGGGAGGCAGCAUG